AAACUAGGAUUAGAUACCCUAUUAUUUUAGGAGCUUAACAUUGUAAGUAAAUAAAGAUUAUGAAAGCAAAAAAUUAUGGCGGUAUUUUAAGCUUUUCAGAGGAAUUUGCUCUUUAAUGGAUAAAACACCUAAAUCUUACUUAAAUUUGUUAAUUCAAUUUGUAUACCACUAUAAAAACAAUUUAUAACUUUAAUUGUUUAAAUUUAUUAAAUUAAAAUAUAUUAAGUCAAGGUGCAGUAAAAAUUUAAGGAUGAAGUGAAUUACAUUACUCUUUAGAGAAACAAAUUUAAAAUAAUAUUUAGGAUUUGAAAGUAAAAUUAAAAUAGAAUGUUAGUUUGAAUUAAGCUCUAAAAUAUGUACAUAUCGCCCGUCACUCUUUAUUAAGAUAAGUCGUUACAUAG
This 401-nucleotide ribosomal RNA is filed under the name Rhipicephalus turanicus. RNAcentral describes it as "partial small subunit ribosomal RNA". Lineage: Eukaryota; Metazoa; Arthropoda; Arachnida; Ixodida; Ixodidae. The record is from RNAcentral.